This is a long non-coding RNA of Cucumis melo (muskmelon), 488 nucleotides long. RefSeq lists it as uncharacterized. The transcript is spliced from 3 exons. Lineage: Eukaryota; Viridiplantae; Streptophyta; Magnoliopsida; Cucurbitales; Cucurbitaceae. The record is from RefSeq and is a predicted model, not a curated record.
UCUCUCCCCCUCCUUCUCGAUUUUUCUCUUCACCUUUCCCUUCUUCUUCUUGCUGACGCCACCAUCUCUAUCUAUCUCUCCAUCGCUGCACGCUGACAGCUACUAUGUUUGAACGUCAAACGCAUGGUCGCCAGCCAUAGCCGGUCGUAGCCAACUGUGUUCAACGAAGUCGUCAUUUCUUGGCUCUAUGGUUGAAGAAGAAGGGGAAAAACUCAAAGGAAGUUUCAAUCAUAACAAUUUUUUUACCCACUCUGCAUACUUCUGGUUUUUAUUUCAAUUUGAGCUUCUCAAGAAAAUCUAAGAGGUUGCGAACCAAAGACCAAGUGUUGAUUUAACAUUCGUCAUCAGUCAUAGAUCUCCAUUAUUCUUUGUAUGUUUAUAGUAAAUUUUUGUAAUGCAUCAUGGAGUAGUUAAAUGUGACGAGAGUGAGGUUAAGAACUUGUGUGAAAUUCCCUCUUAGAAUGAAAUCAUGUGUAUGUAACUUUUAA